GCACUGCCCCGCGGGCUCCAGAGCUGCGAACGCCCCAGAGUGUGCAGGGAGGCCUGCAGAAAGAAAAUGCGGCUGAGGGUCCCCGUGGGACCCACUCAGAGGUGGGCCGUAAAGAUCCCGGAAGGGUGGAUGGCAUUAGAUACCACCUAGUACUCCAGCAAGGGCUGGGUCACCGAAUUGGGAUCUCGGCCUCUUCUUCCAGUCUGGGGAAAAGUGUGUUAAAUGCUAAACAUCAGUGUUUAUCGAGUGAGGCCCAGCCUGUCUGGCAUAAUGAUUUUUAAAAUCUACAUUCAAAUAUUAAAUAAAAACUCAACCUCCCCAAUAACAUUUGAACAUAAAUAUUAGUGUGCGCUCUCUAGGUUAGGGAAACUGAAGCUGGGAGUGUGGGUAAGGAUGCCCAGCACUUAGGAGCCACAGGGUAAGUAAUGUUUGUCCAAAACUCGGGUCCCUCCUGUACUUUCCAUUCUGUCUGUUCAUUCAUCCAGUUUAGAUAUGAAUUGGUACCAACGUGUGCCAGGUUCUGCGCUAGUGACUGACAGUGUUGGCACAGGGAGGCAGCCAUGCUCCCGAGUCCUGGGAGUGGGCAGCACUGCCCUGUGGGUCUGCACUGGCUUCCAAAUGUCUAAGUGGGCACUGUUACUCACUGUGACAGCAUCCCCAGGCUUUCUUACCUGGUAAAGCAGAAACUCAAACAUACUUACACACCAAUAUUCAUUGCAGCAUUAUUUAUGAUGGCCAAAAGAUGGAAGCAACUCCAGUGGAUGAAUGCAUACAGUUACUAUUACAGCAGGGAAGACAGACAUUGGAAAAUAAUGCCC
This 818-nucleotide long non-coding RNA is filed under the name Homo sapiens (human). Its description in RNAcentral is "non-protein coding lnc-URB1-4:4". Lineage: Eukaryota; Metazoa; Chordata; Mammalia; Primates; Hominidae. The record is from RNAcentral.